GCGUAAAGGGUAAUAGGUGGUGGAAAACGCGUAAAAUUAAAGACUUGGUGAAAGCCAUUUAAGUUUUUUUGCUGAGUUCACUAGAAUUUGAAGACGGUAUGGGUAUUAAUAUGUAGACGUGAAAAGUGAUGAUAUAGCAAGGACGACAUUGGUGAAAACACGUACGAGUAAAGUAUUGACGCUGAGGACGAAGGUAUGGGAAUCAAACUGGAUUAGAGACCCAGGUAGUCCAUACAGUCAAGCUGCAUAUUCAAUAUUAGAAGCUUGCUUAACCGGCGGAACUUUUGUGUUCAAGCUAACGCGUUAAAUAUGCCGCCUGGGUACAAGGCCGCAAGGUUACAACUCUAAAGAAUUGAGGAAACUUGUACAAGG
This 372-nucleotide ribosomal RNA is filed under the name Dianema depressum. Its description in RNAcentral is "SSU rRNA". It matches the Rfam family "Bacterial small subunit ribosomal RNA", at positions 558 to 930 of the family's 1533-position model. The record is from RNAcentral. Lineage: Eukaryota; Evosea; Eumycetozoa; Trichiida; Dianemataceae.